This 493-nucleotide ribosomal RNA is filed under the name uncultured Glomus. RNAcentral's name for it is "SSU rRNA". It matches the Rfam family "Eukaryotic small subunit ribosomal RNA", at positions 569 to 1068 of the family's 1831-position model. The record is from RNAcentral. Lineage: Eukaryota; Fungi; Glomeromycota; Glomeromycetes; Glomerales; Glomeraceae.
AGCAGCCGCGGUAAUUCCAGCUCCAAUAGCGUAUAUUAAAGUUGUUGCAGUUAAAAAGCUCGUAGUUGAAUUUCGGGGUCAGCAAGUUGGUCGUGCCACCGGUAUGCACUGGCUUUGCUGAUUCCUCCUUCUUGUAGAACCGUAAUGCCAUUAAUUUGGUGUUGCGGGGAAACAGGACUGUUACUUUGAAAAAUUAGAGUGUUUAAAGCAGGCUAACGCUUGAAUACAUUAGCAUGGAAUAAUGAAAUAGGACGACGAUCCUAUUUUGUUGGUUUCUAGGAUUGACGUAAUGAUUAAUAGGGAUAGUUGGGGGCAUUAGUAUUCAAUUGUCAGAGGUGAAAUUCUUGGAUUUAUUGAAGACUAACUACUGCGAAAGCAUUUGCCAAGGAUGUUUUCAUUAAUCAAGAACGAAAGUUAGGGGAUCGAAGACGAUCAGAUACCGUCGUAGUCUUAACCAUAAACUAUGCCGACUAGGGAUCGGAUGAUGUUAAUU